Passer domesticus (house sparrow) is the source of this 8176-nucleotide long non-coding RNA. RefSeq lists it as uncharacterized. NCBI's taxonomy places the organism in Eukaryota, Metazoa, Chordata, Aves, Passeriformes, Passeridae. The transcript is spliced from 2 exons. The record is from RefSeq and is a predicted model, not a curated record.
UUGCCCCCACGGCCAUGCUUGGCCAUCUCUCUGGGGAGGUCCCUGUGCCUGGCUGUGUUUGUCAUAGCCCCUCUAUGCAAGGGACUCCUGGCCCAGGGUCUGGCAGCUGAGGAGAAAUGGCUGGGUCUUGGAAGAGCAGCCCCGUGGCCUCACAGUGCACUGCACCUCACCUAACCACUUGCCGCACCAGGUUUUAGACUUACCACCCUUACUGAAUUUCUUCAGCAAGCAGUAGGUUACAUUCAACAGGAAACAUUAAUUUUCUGGGAUUCUUCACUGUCAGCCACCUCCUGCCAUGGAUUUUUACAUUUAGUUGGAGGACAUGUUUCAUAUCUGCCAUGUGUGAUGAACUCUGGCUUUGUGAAAACCUGUGGUUCUCUAUCUCGAAGUUUUCUUCAGCUGUCAGAAGGAUUUUGUCAUCCAGUAAAGUAAUCUCCGUCUAUUACUGAAACUCAGAUUGAAUCAAGUCAGUGGAAGUGGUUGGAUUUUCUUCAGGUUUUUCUAUAAUUAGUCCUGCAAGAAAAUUAUUCAUCCUUACAGGUAAAGUGCACAAAAUGCCUAUGUUUCAUUGUUCAGUUCUUUCUACCAUGAAUAUUAUGGAAAGAAAAAAACCCCAUCACAUUAGAUGCAGAUGACCCAUGUAUUUUCUUUUUUAUUUUCACUUCAGAAAUGUAUCUAUGAAUGUAUUACUGAGAUAUCUUUGCAUAUUCAUUGUUUCUAAAGAUUUCACAGCCGAACACUUGUAGAUUCAGAAGACUUAAGGUUAUCUAUUUUAAAUUUUUAUAGCUAUUACAAUAGGUGUUGCAGGAAAACCUGGAAGUCUUAAUAAUCAGAUAAGAUAAAAGCAAGAUGGCUGCAUUUCCCUCAAAUUUAGAUGCUGAAAUCCAUAGCUAAAAUAGUGACUUUAGGCUCCACUUAUUGUCAAUGGAGACUAAUAGGCUUCUUCAGGAUGUGAUCUAUUUCUUAUUUAAAGGUUUACAAUUAUAUGAACAGCCUUUGAAAAUUAUGUAUUUCUCUCCACUGACUAUGAAGCAGUACUGGGAUAACUAGGUUAGAUAUAGAUGUUGACAUGGCAGAUAUCCACAUUUAAUCAGUUGAACAUCAGUUACAAAAAAAGAAAAUUCUUGCCCCAGUGAAUUUGCUAUCUAAAUAAUAAAGGGGGAAAUUGAAAUUAAAAGUCAUUAAAUAGCUUGAAAAAAUCAGAACCUAAAACAUCUCCUGAGUCCAAUGAAAAGGUUUUAAGCAGAAGGCUGUAUCUGCUUCAAUUUUCAGUAUUCAGUUGUUCUUUCAAAGCUUCUUUGGCACCCUGAAAAAGUUCUCAUACACUGCUAUGUUGAUGGCAGUUUUUCUAUGUUUAUUUUGUAACUUAUUCUAUUGUACUAAAAAUGCUGUUUGAUUCACUUCUACAUGGAGACCUCAUAAAAAAUUGAAAGGCUUCAAUAAUUUUAAAUCAUUCUACACUGCAUAUAGAGAUUUAAAUUUCAGUGCUAUUUUUUUAUUAGCACUUUAAUUUGGAAGGUACUAGGCUUCUACAAGAUUUAAAAUUAUUGGAGCAUUUCAAAUUUUUAUAAGCUUUCCAGUAAAGAUGUGACUAUGGUUCUAGGCAUAUAAAGUGUAGGACAAUUUAAAUUUAAUCUAAAUUAUUUAAAUGCUUCAGACUUCAGGGAGAUUUUCAAUCUCUCAGACUGGGAUCCAUGUUCAGAGACUAGAGCACUCUUAUAAUGCAAAGUGCUUUCAUCAUUUUAAAGACCUGUGGGCAGCAUUCUGAAAAAGCCUUUUUUAUUUUCAGUUUGUUAAUUUAAAUUAUUUGUUUUCAUCUGCAAUGUAUGGCAAGGAAAAAAGGUGUAAUAAGAUCAUAAAGGGAAGUCUGUUUCCUCUAGAAGAUGUUGGAUAAAAAUGAGCUUUUCUUCUGAGAUACAUUGUGAGGGGAGAAAAGGAUUUACUAACACCCAAAAGACAUCAGUGUUUCUGAUAUGCCUUAUCAGGUGCCUAUUCUCUGAGAGAAGCUAGUACUGUGAUUAUCUGGCAAGUUUGUGGAUUACAGAAAAUCCCUUGGAGGAAGUUGUAUGCAUGACUGUAGCCUCAGGAGAAAGGAAGGGCAUAAGAAAAAACCUCUCCUCUGACCAGCAUCUACUUUACAGAAGGACAAGCCUGAGGACAGUCAUUUUUUUUGGAACUGAAUCCUAGAUGAAAGAGCAAUCCCAAAAUAAGACACACUCUAUCUAGUCAACUUUUCAGCUGAACUGAAUAAAAAAAGGUCUUUGGAUCAGAACUAAAAUAAAGACAGUCAGACACACUCAUUUCCCCCUCCACACACCCCUUAUAGUUUUUUCUUUGAACAGAAUCACCCCAUUAAGAUUUGAAAAGCAGUACAUGUUAGGAAGUCUUCAUGCAUGUUAUGCUGUUAGUCUAAUAUCAAAAAUUAUUUCAAAACUUAUGGUCCUAAGUAGAAGUAUUGCCCACUUCUGUAGGGUGCCUAAUCCUUGCAUUGCAAUGUAUGUUAUUAUUGUUGUUGUUGCCAUUAUUCAUAUUGAAAUGAAUAUUAUUAAUAAUAAUAUCAAUAUUGGUAUUAUUUUGGCCUGGAAAACCCAAUUAUUUAAAUGAGUUUACAUUCUGUUAUUCUAAGUUUACUGUUUCUCUUUGCUGCCCUCUGGACAGUUAGACACAAAGUGUUAGAAGCAUUUGGAUGAACUUUGGGUAUGCUAUUCUAAUGAAAUGUUUGGCAUUAGCACCUAUGGGUUCUGCUAUACAAAGGACACAAAUAUGUGGAAAGGACACAGAAUACGAAGAGGAGCUAAGCAGAAAAAGGAGCAGUGGAAAACUGGAAACUUCAUCAAUCCAUGCAGAUCACCUAGAGAAGUUUCUCACUGACUAGUUGCAGUGCCUUAGUGUGAAAAGUCCUGGAAAUCUUCUCUCAUACUCAUUGUCCUGGGGACCUGCCCAGAAAUUUGCCUGGCUCCUCAAUUGUUGUGGCUUUGAGAUUAAUUUUCUUUCUUAAAAUUCAGUGCUCAGGUACCAUAGUGCUAAGUAAACUCAUUAAUUAUUUAUCUACAUUCUACUAGUUCAUUGUAGCUGUUCCACAUUUCACUCUUUUUAUCAAAUUUUCAAUCAAUUCCUCUCUAUUUGCAAGUAGGUCAAGGAUGGCUUCUCCUGUGGUUAAUACAUGGUUGGCUGUCUUCAUUUACUAGGAGAUAAUUCCUCUGUAAAUGGUUUUUUGUGAUUCUGAGUACCUUGAGAUUUUGUCCAGGAAAUUUUCAUUCCUGCAAGUCUCUAGUCACAUACCAUAUGUCAUUUCUUCUUUGUUUUUAAUUCCUUGCAACUUUACCUAAAAACUGAAUCAUUGCAUUUGUUAACAAGGGUUUGUGGAGUUCUCACAUAUGUAGGCCUGCAGUUUUCAAAUGGCUUAAAGGAAUGAUACACUUACCUUUGCUUGGGUUUGUUUUGAGUUGUUUUUUGGUUUAUUUUUCUUUUAUAAUGGAGUAAAUUAUAUCUACCCAAUGAUGAGACGCUAUUUAAAAUCCUAAUAAGAAUUCUGAUUCCAACUAACUUUUUGUUUAUACACCCAAUUGCCUCUAUAUAUUGGAAUUCUAGUUGCAAGAAUAAUUUUUCAUAGGCACACUUUCAAUGGAGCACAUUGUGUUAUUGUAAUACCAUCAUUUAAUAGUAUUUUUGUGUCUUUCUGUUAUCUUCUCUGUUCUGUUUUUGCAAUUAUCAAAGGAUGUAUUUUGUUAUUUAUCUUUUUUUUUCAUCCAGAUUUUUUCACCAUGUACUCUGUAUAAGAUUCAAUGUUUUAUUAGUAACAGUUUGGAUUUCCAGUAUGUACCAGAUGGAGUUAAAAGGAAGCUAUUUUUCCCUCUUCAAACUGCUAACAGUUGUUUAACAAUUUUCAGAAGAAAUGUACCAAUUCUGAACUUAGGUUAAGUAGUCAUAUGUCAAAAUAUGGUAAGUCUCAGCUCAGACUACUGCAACAUGCAAGACUUGCAGCUGUUAUCAUUAAUAAUACAGAACAUGGAGACAAUUGUAAUAUCUGUUGAAAUCCUCAGUAUCAUAGAAAUUAUGAUCAGCAAAUCUUUGACAUGAUUAUUUCAUCAGUCUAUAGUUUGUGAAUACUAAUGAGAUAUACUUUUGACACAGGCAUCAUGUCUGAACUAAAAAGCCAUUACUGAAAUUAUAAUAUAAAUUAAAUGUGGAAUGAAAGGCUAAUAAUGAGUGUACCAGAUGUUAUACUCUGAAUGCUUAGAAUAUUUAUGGACUGUUCCAGUCAGAUGGUGGAUGCUCUGGACACAUGGAGCAUUUGCGAAAUACAACAUCAGAAUAUACUGAAUAAUACAGUACGAUACAGAUGUUUUCUAAGGGAUGGUAGUUGCUGCAUUCCUGACUAAGCACUGGAAAGAAAAUUGGAAUUUCAGUCAUGUGGAAAAGGGAUGUUGGUGCAUAUUCUACUACUGGUUAAAUAGCAUUCAUCUUUUCACUGAUGACUGGAAAAUAGUACUACUUUUAUCUCAUUCAAAACCAGAGAUACAGAGGAAGAAAACAAUCAAAAGACACAGCCAAGCAUUUUUGAGCACCUAUUAACUGAAUUAUGGAAUAAAUCUGUCAAUAUUCUGUGUGUUAAAUCAUAUUCUUAAAUAUAUGCAAAACUUAUUUAAUGCUUUAGUGUAUGCUUCUUUUUGCUUUUGGUUUGCCCCAGAUAAUGUCUGUGCAAUUUGGGAAGUUGUCUUGUCACUGAUUAACUCUGAGAAGCAAACAAUAUCUGUGUGUUAUAAAAAAUAGUAGGCAGUAGGAAGUGAGAAGUGUAGCUGUAAGUGGCCUAAAUUUUUGUGUCUAGCUGAAAAGCACACAUUCCAUCAAGAAAAAUCAUGACCAAAGACUGAGAUCCAACUGUAAGUACUCCAAUGAGAUCAUGAAAAAAUGAGAGGGACAAGUGACUUUGACAUUUAUCAGUACUUCAUUAUUUUUCCUCAAAUCCUGGAACUCAUUAAUCUAAACUAAAGACUGUUGGCUAUUUUUUAGUGUUGCACUGCUCCUUGCUGAACUUCAUGAACUUCCUAUCAGCCUAUUUCUUCAGCCUGUUGAGAUCCCUCUGGAUGGUUACACAACCAUUAGCGGUUUGGUGUUGUUAGCAAACUUGUUAAGGGUGAGCUCUGCCUGAUCAUCCAGAUCAUUGAGGAUGUUAAGCAGGACUGCACCAAGUACUGACUGCUGGAGUACACUGCUAGUCACUGGUCUCCAACUUGCCUCUGUGCCUCUGGAUCAUGACCCUCUGGGUCUGUCCAUUCUUCCAGUUUUCAAAGCACCUCACUAUCUACUUAUACUGCCAUACAUCAUACUCUAUAGAUAUCUUAAAGGAGACAGUGUGAAAGAUACUGCUGAAAUUGGAGUAGAUAAUAUCUACUGCUCUACCCUCAUCUGCCAGGACAGUAAUUUCACUAUAGAAGAUGCAGCUUUUUGAAGUGCCGUGUGUUUGCUGGUAAAAUACAAAAGACAAAUUCUAGUCUAUUAAAAAAUUUUCAGGGAAAAAAGCAUGGGAAAUUAUUUUAAUUAAGAAGAAUGUCCAAAUGAUAUUGUGUCUGUUGUAAAAGUUAGAUAGAACGGGUUUGGGGUCAGAGAUUAAAGUUUUUCUGGAUCCUGUAAUGAAUUUGGUGUGGGAUGAGGGAUGUCUGGAUGAAAUAAUAUCCUCCACCAUCAGGGACUUAUAGAGUGCUACUAGAAUGUGAAAAGUAACUGAGGUUUCCCUUAGAAUUAUGUUCCAGAGGGAAUUUCUAACAAUUUCUAAUUCUCUGAUAAAGACAAACAAACACCACUGUAUCUAAAAAAAAAAGGCUGUCUGUCAUACAAUAAUAUUUGGAGUAAAUGCUUAAACUCCAAGAGUUCCGAUGGGGUGUAUCACAGUCAUUAAAUGAACACAGAGGGAAACAAAUCUCAGAGCUGGUCAUUAGCUAAAAGUUCUGAGAAGUAGACUGCAGUUACAAAAAGUCAUUGAGGAAACUAAGUCUCAUUCGACAGUGAAAAAAAUAACCCAAAAUCCUGAACGCCUUUGUGAAUCUUGGCCUGAGGCAAAAUUGGUUUAAACUAUCUCUUUUAUUCAGGCUGUGAAAGAUUUUGAAAUGGACUUAUAUUACUCUGGAGACAGAUGCCAACCAUCCAUUUAUAAGGUGUCCUAAUAUGAUACUUUUUCAACUCCAUUUCUCACAAAUUUUUCACUAUUCAUGAAACUGUAAAAGGUUAUUUCAGACCAAGAGAAGUAAAGACAAUUUUCUAGCAGGGCUGUUGGGCUUGAGGGUUCAGAAAUGCACCUGAGAGGUGAAAUAUCUAGUUCAAAGACUUAAAUUUAGUGUUUGCUAAAUACAAGAGAGAAUAUGUAUUACAGAAAAGGUUAAAUUGAAAAGGUUGUGAUAGAAUUUGUUUUGGAUAGGUUUCUUUAAAGAAAAUGUCUUAUAGACCCAGUUCUUAUGAGUGAAAAAUAAGAACCAAACCUCUAGUGCAUGUUUAGAUAUACUCAAUAAAUUUCAUAGCUAUUUAACUCUUUAAAAUGGGAGUGGAAGUGGAAGUUUAAUAUCUUUAUUUAAGCCAAUAUAGUAAUUUACCAAAUAUUAGGAAUAAUUACUGCUGUAUUCUCUGGCAAAUAAAUAGUUGGCCAAAAUGCAGAGUUUUAGCUCUUUUUCAUCCAUUGAAAUUACAUAGCUAGUGAAGUAACAGAACCAAUUUUUCUGAGCCAAGUAAGGCACUGCUGGUCUGUUAUGGUUUGCAAUUAUGAUUUUGAUUUAUUUGAUACAAAGUUGAUGAGUUUGAGGUUCAUUAGGAUUUCUUUUGAAUUACCUAAUCAUUUGGUGCAGACCAUUCCAGAGCCAGCAGAUUAUAUGAUAGAGUUUUGUCAUUAUUAGUCUGAGCUAUACUUGAAACAGCGUCCUAGAUCUAAAAAGUGUCCAUAUUAUAUUUCCAGUUCCCUCAAUGAAACAACUCCUGCAGGGUUCAUACUUAGCAAUAACAACAGUUAUAUUGAGCAGAAAAACUAUAAUUUUGUUUGGGUUUUUUUUGUUUGGUGGUUUUUUGCCUUUCUUAGGUAAAUUUGUUGCCACCAGCUUUCAUAUUCACAUCUUACAGACCUUUAGGUAAUAGGGCUUGGAUCAGAAAGUUGUAUUCAAAAAAAAUAACAAGUUUCUGAGGAUUAUUUUUUAACUUCAUAUUAAGGGGCUUUUGGUGACAAUAACAGAUUUUAAGGCUUAACAACAAAGCUAGAAAUUAUUUUUGUUCACAAUUAUGUUCACUACUUUCCAAUGAAGUAAUUGGAAAAAAAGUCGUAUGCUAACAUUUAUAAUGCUGCAAGGUUUGGGACUUGUAUAAGGCAAAUCUCCAUAUGUUUUCCUUCCAUAAUAAUUUACUCUAGAGGUUGUUCUUUUGUAACAUUAACUAUUUUUUUAAACUCUAAAAGUGGGCAAAGCAGCUGUAAACAGCAGAAAACCAAAUCUGUAAUCAGAUGGUUACCUUGGAAUUCAAACUACAGAAUUUAUGAGUGGAUUUUACUGUAUGAAGAGAUGAUGUGAAUGGUACCCAUGUUGCCUGUUGUGACAGCAUUUAUUUAGACUACAUGGAGAUGAAUAUUAAGAGGAACAAAGAAUGAUAUUCAUACAGUCUGACCUGUUUGAAUUUUGAGGAACAGGCACGAUUCUAACCAAGUGACCAUCCAGCCUACACUUGCAUUAAUACUUUGUAUACCAUAGAAGCUUAUCAUGUAGAAUAGUUGACAGAAUAUUUCUCAACACCAUAUAGGGGCAUCCACACUAUCGACAGAUGCCAUGGCCUUAUAUGUUAAUUCAAACUCCAUACAUAUUUAUUAAUGAAGAAUUAAUCCAAACUCCAUGUGAAACAGAAGUUCUUCUAAAAAGGAGGAAGUUGAUAUGUGACAGAACACAAUGCAAGUGUAAACUAACUUAGAGGUAUUGCAUACAUUGGGGCACUGAGAACUGAGAAUGUGAAUUUUCUAUGCUGAGCAAUAUGCAGCAUUUUACACUAGGCCUGGUUCUUUUGCUAAUUUUAAUACUUGUAUAACAAAUAUACUAUGAUUUUUAUAUUGAUUUUAUUUUGUCUUUUUUUUUCCUGUAGUUAUUUAAAUAUUCUGGUGGAUGUUUAUUAAGACCUACACUAAAAUGCUUUAAUAAAUAAUAUUAACAUCUUA